GGUCAUAUUAUAUUGAAACACCAGUUCUCUUAUGAUCACUGAAGUUCAGCAACAUUAAGUUUGUUCACUACCUAGAUGGGUGACUGCUUGGGAAUACCUUGUGCUGUAA
This 109-nucleotide ribosomal RNA is filed under the name Acanthosepion pharaonis. Lineage: Eukaryota; Metazoa; Mollusca; Cephalopoda; Sepiida; Sepiidae. The record is from RNAcentral.